UACGAAGGGGGCUAGCGUUGCUCGGAAUCACUGGGCGUAAAGCGCACGUAGGCGGACUCUUAAGUCGGUGGUGAAAUCCUGGAGCUCAACUCCAGAACUGCCUUCGAUGCUGAGAGUCUCGAGUCCGGGAGAGGUGAGUGGAACUGCGAGUGUAGAGGUGAAAUUCGUAGAUAUUCGCAAGAACACCAGUGGCGAAGGCGGCUCACUGGCCCGGUACUGACGCUGAGGUGCGAAAGCGUGGGGAGCAAACAGG
This 253-nucleotide ribosomal RNA is filed under the name uncultured bacterium. RNAcentral's name for it is "partial 16S ribosomal RNA". It matches the Rfam family "Bacterial small subunit ribosomal RNA", at positions 524 to 776 of the family's 1533-position model. The record is from RNAcentral.